This is a long non-coding RNA of Triplophysa dalaica, 942 nucleotides long. RefSeq lists it as uncharacterized. The record is from RefSeq and is a predicted model, not a curated record. Lineage: Eukaryota; Metazoa; Chordata; Actinopteri; Cypriniformes; Nemacheilidae. The transcript is spliced from 3 exons.
CAUCAUCAUCAGUUUCCUCACAGCUGACAACAGACUCACUGAGGACUGGAGUUUGUUUUCAACUCUUGAUAACAUCAACAUGACGUGUUUCCUCUUAUGCAAACAUUCCUGAAAACAUUCACACUUGUGUUCUCUUUGUGUAUGUGUAGAUUUGUAUCUGUAGAGAAGCAUUAUUGUGUGUUUCAGGAUCUCUUGUGUGUUUUUCUUAAGAUGUUCUGUGGGGAUGAUUUUUACUGGCUCCUUUGGGGUAUAUAUAUCCGAAGAGUUUUGGCUCUGUUUAUUUUUAUUACAUUUUAUUGUGCUUUCCAAUUAAUAUCAAUUAAUGAUUAGAUUUCUAAUUUUGGAACCAAACUCAUCAUAUAUGUUUGUGGGAUUUCUUUUUGUUUCCAUCUAAAGAAUGUUGGCAGUUUGAGGUAAAACAGCAUCUGUCAUGAUAAAAGCAGAAUGAUUCUGUGAGUUUCUCAUUGUAAACGUCUUUUCACGAGAAAAUGUGCAACAAUGAUUCACAAAACAUCCAUCCCAUUACAGUCAGAGUCUGUUACUUUGUAUUAUGCAUUAACAUGAGCUGACAGACUCUGUUUUCUUUCUCUAGUUCUGGAUCUACAUCAUUCUGUCACGAUGACAUCACACGACUCACCCACUCCACCCAACAGAGGAGAGAUUGAGUGCCAGACCCCGAUACUGCCCAUCCUCAGACUCUGACCUAUGGCCAACUCCAGAUAGAGUAACGGCAGACCCUCAAACACCAGAGCGAUCAGGUAUGGAAAUCUCCAAACAUUCCCGAGUCCAACAGCAAAUCCAAUACAGAUCACAGGAAUCCAACAUAUUCUCUUCCUACUUCUACAUAUACAUAAAGGAAGACCUAAGAGACGUCAAAAGAGCACAAUGUCUGACAUCAUUCAGAUUUUCCAUCGGUUGGUUUGAAAGUAAAGCCUCAGAUCC